GACGAACGCUGGCGGCGUGCUUAACACAUGCAAGUCGAGCGGUAAGGCCCUUUCGGGGGUACACGAGCGGCGAACGGGUGAGUAACACGUGGGUGACCUGCCCUCAGCUCUGGGAUAAGCCUGGGAAACCGGGUCUAAUACUGGAUAUGACUCCAUGACGCAUGUUGUGGGGUGGAAAGCCUUGUCCGGCUGAGGAUGGGCCCGCGGCCUAUCAGCUUGUUGGUGGGGUGAUGGCCUACCAAGGCGACGACGGGUAGCCGGCCUGAGAGGGCGACCGGCCACACUGGGACUGAGACACGGCCCAGACUCCUACGGGAGGCAGCAGUGGGGAAUCUUGCGCAAUGGGCGAAAGCCUGACGCAGCGACGCCGCGUGAGGGAUGACGGCCU
RNAcentral lists this ribosomal RNA (388 nucleotides) under uncultured bacterium. Its description in RNAcentral is "bacterial SSU rRNA". It matches the Rfam family "Bacterial small subunit ribosomal RNA", at positions 28 to 417 of the family's 1533-position model. The record is from RNAcentral.